CCAGCCCCCGAAGCUCUCACCAUCAAUCCACCACCGCAGUCGCUCCAGAUCGAACAAACAAAUUCCCGUGCAUGCCCGUUGUUUGGGGCAAUUGGAUUGGCGUUCAACAAAUCGCGAUUCUAUUGAUACACAUUUACCUGUAUCUAUAUUUAUAUCUAGUUGAAUUCAAUUGCAAUGGCGAGUCAAUGAAUCAGCGUAUGUGUUCUUCGAUGAUUGUUUCUCUCUCCAUGGAUCGGAAGGUGAAUGCAGAGAGAGAGAGAGGAGGGAGGGAUUGGUCCGCCGUAAUUGUAAUCUUUUUACUGUAUAAAUUCAAAUUUUGGAUUUAAUAAUUCUAGUCAAUAAGUCAAGAAAAUUCUGUCGUGCUAGAGAGAGAGAGGGGUUGGGUUAGAGAGAGAGAGAGGGAGGGAAAAUGGAUUGGAUCAUUGGAGACAGAGAGAGAGAGAGAGAUG
Molecule: long non-coding RNA, 449 nt
Filed under: Actinidia chinensis (golden kiwifruit)
Lineage: Eukaryota; Viridiplantae; Streptophyta; Magnoliopsida; Ericales; Actinidiaceae
Description: long non-coding RNA (ACHI_LNC007446)
Source: RNAcentral